GCUACCUGGUUGAUCCUGCCAGUA
RNAcentral lists this ribosomal RNA (24 nucleotides) under Sempervivum davisii. RNAcentral describes it as "partial 18S ribosomal RNA". RNAcentral also lists the same sequence under 1 other name. Lineage: Eukaryota; Viridiplantae; Streptophyta; Magnoliopsida; Saxifragales; Crassulaceae. The record is from RNAcentral.